Non-coding RNA from Triticum aestivum (bread wheat), 115 nucleotides. The record is from Rfam. Lineage: Eukaryota; Viridiplantae; Streptophyta; Magnoliopsida; Poales; Poaceae.
AGAGUACUCCCUCCGUUCGGAAUUACUUGUCGCAGUAGUGGAUGUAUCUAGACGUAUUUUAGUUCUAGAUACACCCAUUUUCGAGACAAGUAAUUCCGAACGGAGGGAGUAGAAU